This 274-nucleotide unclassified non-coding RNA is filed under the name Hevea brasiliensis (rubber tree). Lineage: Eukaryota; Viridiplantae; Streptophyta; Magnoliopsida; Malpighiales; Euphorbiaceae. The record is from RNAcentral.
ACUUGCUAUGCACAGUAUAUCAAAUUUUAUGUAAAGCAUAAUGGCACACAAACUCUACCAAGUCAUUUUUUUAUGAGACCAAAAUAACAAUAUACAAUACAGGUUAUGUACGUAUUACUCCUCCCUAGUUUCUAGCUCCAAGCAAGAUAACAGGUUAAUAUAAAACAGGGAAGGAAAAGAUUAUAUAAUGAUCUUUUCUCAUAGCUUCAAAUAAGGCAAAAAUUCCAACUAUUGCAAGAGCAGUAUAAAGAAAUCAAAAGACCUCCAAUUUGCA